Molecule: long non-coding RNA, 1684 nt
Organism: Chrysemys picta bellii (western painted turtle)
Lineage: Eukaryota; Metazoa; Chordata; Testudines; Emydidae
Source: Ensembl
CAAGAGGCAUGGGGUUGCUCGCUGGUUCUAGUUAUUCUUAAUAUUAGUUAUUUUGUUUUAAAUAUUUUACAGAUGACAGUAUGAACUAUGCAGAAGACCAGUCUUUGGCAGAGGGAAGUUAUUAUCAGAGCAGCACUGUGCAGUGUUACUUGCCCUUCAUCAAAUGAGAUUUUAAAUGGAUAGAAGAUGUCUGUUAACCAAUUAGUCGAGAUGCAGCUUCAUUGAAAUCAAUGGAGCGAUGCCCAAUUACAACAGCAGGGAAUCUAACCCAUAAUAUUUUUGUGAGGAGACAUGAAGAUAAAAAAGAUCUCUUUGAAAAAUGGAAACAAUAGUUCAUUUUGUGUUGGGGAAAAGGCCUUGCAGCUGAGCACUCAGAAGAAACCCUACAAUUACAAGCAUUGUGAGUGUUACUUUGAAGAAAAUCAAAUGUUUCAAGGCCAUACUAUGCCAUCAGUUUUCAAACAAUUUGAAGGUGGGAGUUCUGUUUUGAAAAAGUCUGCCACGAUACAGUCAUCCAUAAAGAAAUACAUUUUAAUACCUGGUGUGUGUGUGUGUGUGUGUGUGUGUGUGUGUGUGUGUGUGUGUGGUAGGGGNNNNNNNNNNNNNNNNNNNNGUGUGUGUGUGUGUGUGUGUGUGUGUGUGUGUGUGUGUGUGUGUGUAGGUAGGGGGGAGGGAAUACCCUAGCAAUAUCCUUCUCAAUAAGUUAUCUUAAAUUCCAUUUCAUUUUUACUUACAUCUAACCAGAGAAUCAAUACAUAAUUCUCUAGCAAUAUCAUGUGAAAAUGCAUAGUAAAUUACAUGUUUUAACAGUUACUUAGUAGAAUAAUUAUACUGGAAUUUACUAAGCAAAUCCAUAGAUUACUUAUCACAUAAUUUGCAAUUUCUAGAUCUUAUCAUGCAGUUAUAAUUUAGAAGAGAGAACUGUGAAGAUAAUUAGCAUUUGAUGAUAUAGUACAGUAAUUCCCAGAUAUUAUACUAAUACGUUAUUAUGUAGUUAAAAAGUUAUUUGUGACCCAUUGUGAUUCAGACGCAGGUUUCUGGUGAUCUGGGUUUUAUCCCCAGCUUUUUUGUUCCUGUGUUCACAUCAGUCAAGGCUACAUACUGCAGAUCUUAACUGAGCAAAACUCUCACUGAAACCAGGAAGAAUUUGAUCCUUAACUCACCUCAGGUUGCUUAUCUAUAAAAUGGGGGAUGAUGAUACAGUGGGUGAGGUUACAGAGUAGUCUGGUUUUUUUUGCCAGUCCAUAAAACAUCAGUGGCUCUAACAGCACUCCCCAAAUUAUGGCCCUGAUUCAGCAAAGUACUUCAACACCCAUAUAAAAGGUUACAGCCCUGAUAAGCUCCCCCUACUGGCCUCUCUCCAGGCUACUGUACUGGACCCAAACAUUAGGUCCUUCAUGUUCUUGGCUUGCUGGGCUGGGCAGAGUUUAGGCACUGUUUCUCUGGCUAUGGGCCUCUAGGCACACACUCCAGCUGCAGACCCCACAUCUGACACCCCUCUUGGAGUGCCUGCUCUCCAGUUGCUCUUGCACUGAAGUUGUGGACUCUCUGAUUCCCUUCUCAGGGACUAUGCGCCUGUGUAAACACGUAACACAGACUCUCCAGCGGAAUUUCUAAACACACACUUUACUCCUAGGGAAACUACAAGAGAUAGCAGAUCUAUAUUCGGGUCUUAGUCAGUGUU